This 462-nucleotide ribosomal RNA is filed under the name uncultured bacterium. RNAcentral's name for it is "partial 16S ribosomal RNA". It matches the Rfam family "Bacterial small subunit ribosomal RNA", at positions 28 to 507 of the family's 1533-position model. The record is from RNAcentral.
GACGAACGCUGGCGGCGUGCUUAACACAUGCAAGUCGAGCGGAAGGGCCCUUCGGGGUACUCGAGCGGCGAACGGGUGAGUAACACGUGAGUAACCUGCCCCAGACUUUGGGAUAACCCUCGGAAACGGGGGCUAAUACCGGAUACGACACAGCUUCGCAUGGGGUCUGUGUGGAAAGUUUUUCGGUUUGGGAUGGGCUCGCGGCCUAUCAGCUUGUUGGUGGGGUGAUGGCCUACCAAGGCGACGACGGGUAGCCGGCCUGAGAGGGCGACCGGCCACACUGGGACUGAGACACGGCCCAGACUCCUACGGGAGGCAGCAGUGGGGAAUAUUGCACAAUGGGCGGAAGCCUGAUGCAGCGACGCCGCGUGAGGGAUGACGGCCUUCGGGUUGUAAACCUCUUUCAGCAGGGACGAAGCGUAAGUGACGGUACCUGCAGAAGAAGCGCCGGCCAACUACGUG